RNAcentral lists this ribosomal RNA (254 nucleotides) under uncultured bacterium. Its description in RNAcentral is "partial 16S ribosomal RNA". It matches the Rfam family "Bacterial small subunit ribosomal RNA", at positions 524 to 776 of the family's 1533-position model. The record is from RNAcentral.
UACAGAGACUGCAAGCGUUAUUCGGAUUCACUGGGCGUAAAGGGUGCGCAGGCGGUUGGGUGUGUCAGAUGUGAAAUCCCGAGGCUUAACCUCGGAACUGCGUCUGAAACUACUCGACUAGAGUACUGGAGAGGGAAACGGAAUUCACGGUGUAGCAGUGAAAUGCGUAGAUAUCGAUGAGGAACACCAGAGGCGAAGGCGGUUUCCUGGACAGUUACUGACGCUCAGGCACGAAAGCAUGGGGAGCAAAAGGG